CAGACGACUGGGUUGAUAGGCCGGAUGUGGAAGCAAGGACUAACGACUUGUGCAGCUGACCGGUACUAAUAAGCCGAUAACUUGACAAUCAC
This 92-nucleotide ribosomal RNA is filed under the name Agromyces mariniharenae. Its description in RNAcentral is "Agromyces sp. NEAU-184 partial 23S ribosomal RNA". Lineage: Bacteria; Bacillati; Actinomycetota; Actinomycetes; Micrococcales; Microbacteriaceae. The record is from RNAcentral.